GGGGGUGAAAUGGAUUUCGACAGGAAUGUGAAAGUUUUAAUUGCAUGUCCCAAGUCUCAGUCAUUGGGUUAAAACGGCUGGAAAACAUAAACGCAAAUGAUGACGUUGCUUUCGCAGCAGCUGCUUAAUUAGUAGUUAAUGCGAUGUCUUGUUCUUUUUCGCCUUACGAAAAGUACAGGGCAUAAUCACAGUAAGGAUCGCUUUGAAAUAUGUGUCUAGAUAUAAUAAGUUAAAUUUUAUAGACUAUCCUGUUAUAAAUUUUGCUAGUAAAAGUUAUAAUGGGUAAAGCAAAAUACUAGAUAAACAUGUAGACAUUUCAAUAAUAACAUUUUUGGACCUGGGUUCGACUCCCAGCAUCUCCACUA
This 365-nucleotide transfer-messenger RNA is filed under the name Flavobacteriales. RNAcentral describes it as "BACL11 sp002693745 X1 Standard tmRNA". It matches the Rfam family "transfer-messenger RNA". Rfam says of the family: Bacterial tmRNA, also known as 10Sa RNA or SsrA, is named for its dual tRNA and mRNA-like properties. Lineage: Bacteria; Pseudomonadati; Bacteroidota; Flavobacteriia. The record is from RNAcentral. RNAcentral also lists the same sequence under 1 other name.